GAUUGCAUUAUACUGUGUGUGUGUGUGUGUGUGUGUGUGUGUGUGUGUGUAUACACACACACACACACACACACACACACACACACACUUAUU
Non-coding RNA from Podarcis lilfordi (Lilford's wall lizard), 93 nucleotides. The record is from the annotation of a GenBank genome assembly. Lineage: Eukaryota; Metazoa; Chordata; Lepidosauria; Squamata; Lacertidae.